Non-coding RNA from Myotis lucifugus (little brown bat), 74 nucleotides. The record is from Rfam. NCBI's taxonomy places the organism in Eukaryota, Metazoa, Chordata, Mammalia, Chiroptera, Vespertilionidae.
GGCGGUUCUCAAGUGAUGCACCCGGAAUCAGGCUCCUUCCUCUCUGAUUCCAGGUGUAUCACCUGAGAACCACA